Molecule: ribosomal RNA, 173 nt
Filed under: uncultured Capnocytophaga sp.
Lineage: Bacteria; Pseudomonadati; Bacteroidota; Flavobacteriia; Flavobacteriales; Flavobacteriaceae
Description: partial 16S ribosomal RNA
Rfam family: Bacterial small subunit ribosomal RNA
Source: RNAcentral
UGAGGAAUAUUGCACAAUGGUCGGAAGACUGAUCCAGCCAUGCCGCGUGCAGGAUGAAGGUCCUAUGGAUUGUAAACUGCUUUUGUAAGGGAAGGAAUAAGGAGUACGUGUACUUUGAUGACGGUACCUUACGAAUAAGCAUCGGCUAACUCCGUGCCAGCAGCCGCGGUAAU